GAUGAACGCUGGCGGCGCGCCUAACACAUGCAAGUCGAACGAUUAAAGCACCUUCGGGUGUGUAUAAAGUGGCGAACGGCUGAGUAACACGUGGGCAACCUGCCCCUUUCAUUGGGAUAGCCACGGGAAACCGUGGAUAAUACCGAAUACUUCGAGACUUCCGCAUGGAAGACUCGAGAAAGCUCCGGCGGAGAGGGAUGGGCCCGCGGCCUGUUAGCUUGUUGGUGAGGUAACGGCCUACCAAGGCAAUGAUGGGUAGCUGGGUUGAGAGACCGACCAGCCAGAUUGGGACUGAGACACGGCCCAGACUCCUACGGGAGGCAGCAGUGGGGAAUCUUGCACAAUGGGCGAAAGCCUGAUGCAGCGACGCCGCGUGCGGGAUGAAGGCCUUCGGGUCGUAAACCGCUUUCAGCAGGGACGAGGCGAAAGUGACGGUACCUGCAGAAGAAGCCCCGGCUAACUACGUG
This 467-nucleotide ribosomal RNA is filed under the name uncultured bacterium. Its description in RNAcentral is "partial 16S ribosomal RNA". It matches the Rfam family "Bacterial small subunit ribosomal RNA", at positions 28 to 507 of the family's 1533-position model. The record is from RNAcentral.